RNAcentral lists this ribosomal RNA (586 nucleotides) under uncultured Lachnospiraceae bacterium. RNAcentral's name for it is "bacterial SSU rRNA". It matches the Rfam family "Bacterial small subunit ribosomal RNA", at positions 89 to 692 of the family's 1533-position model. The record is from RNAcentral. Lineage: Bacteria; Bacillati; Bacillota; Clostridia; Lachnospirales; Lachnospiraceae.
GACUGAGUGGCGGACGGGUGAGUAACGCGUGGGUAACCUGCCCUGUACAGGGGGGAUAACAGUUGGAAACGGCUGCUAAUACCGCAUAAGCGCACGAGAGGACAUCCUCUUGUGUGAAAGACUCCGGUGGUACAGGAUGGGCCCGCGUCUGAUUAGCUGGUUGGCAGGGUAACGGCCUACCAAGGCGACGAUCAGUAGCCGGUCUGAGAGGAUGAACGGCCACAUUGGAACUGAGACACGGUCCAAACUCCUACGGGAGGCAGCAGUGGGGAAUAUUGCACAAUGGGGGAAACCCUGAUGCAGCAACGCCGCGUGAGUGAAGAAGUAUUUCGGUAUGUAAAGCUCUAUCAGCAGGGAAGAUAAUGACGGUACCUGACUAAGAAGCUCCGGCUAAAUACGUGCCAGCAGCCGCGGUAAUACGUAUGGAGCAAGCGUUAUCCGGAUUUACUGGGUGUAAAGGGUGCGUAGGUGGCAGUGCAAGUCAGAUGUGAAAGGCCGGGGCUCAACCCCGGAGCUGCAUUUGAAACUGCAUAGCUGGAGUACAGGAGAGGCAGGCGGAAUUCCUAGUGUAGCGGUGAAAUGCGUA